RNAcentral lists this ribosomal RNA (559 nucleotides) under Halorubrum ezzemoulense. RNAcentral describes it as "bacterial SSU rRNA". It matches the Rfam family "Archaeal small subunit ribosomal RNA", at positions 59 to 619 of the family's 1478-position model. Lineage: Archaea; Methanobacteriati; Methanobacteriota; Halobacteria; Halobacteriales; Haloferacaceae. The record is from RNAcentral.
CGCACGAGUUCAGACUCGUGGCGAAUAGCUCAGUAACACGUGGCCAAACUACCCUUCGGAACACAAUACCCUCGGGAAACUGAGGCUAAUAGUGUAUACCAUACCACCACUGGAAUGAGUGGUAUGCUAAACGCUCCGGCGCCGAAGGAUGUGGCUGCGGCCGAUUAGGUAGACGGUGGGGUAACGGCCCACCGUGCCAAUAAUCGGUAUGGGUCAUGAGAGUGAGAACCCAGAGACGGAAUCUGAGACAAGAUUCCGGGCCCUACGGGGCGCAGCAGGCGCGAAACCUUUACACUGCACGACAGUGCGAUAGGGGGAUCCCAAGUGCACAGGCAUAGCGCCUGUGCUUUUCGGUACCCUAAGGCGGUACCAGAAUAAGGGCUGGGCAAGACCGGUGCCAGCCGCCGCGGUAAUACCGGCAGCCCAAGUGAUGGCCGAUCUUAUUGGGCCUAAAGCGUCCGUAGCUGGCCGCGCAAGUCCAUCGGGAAAUCCACCUGCUCAACAGGUGGGCGCCCGGUAGAAACUGCGUGGCUUGGGACCGGAAGGCGCGACGGGUACG